This 171-nucleotide ribosomal RNA is filed under the name uncultured eukaryote. Its description in RNAcentral is "partial small subunit ribosomal RNA". It matches the Rfam family "Eukaryotic small subunit ribosomal RNA", at positions 1662 to 1828 of the family's 1831-position model. The record is from RNAcentral.
GUACACACCGCCCGUCGCUACUACCGAUUGAAUGGUUUAGUGAGAUCUUCGGAUUGGUCCGGAGGUGGCCGCGAGGUUGCCUCUAGGUUCCGAGAAGAUGAUCAAACUUGAUCAUUUAGAGGAAGUAAAAGUCGUAACAAGGUUUCUGUAGGUGAACCUGCAGAAGGAUCA